RNAcentral lists this transfer RNA (73 nucleotides) under Gloeochaete wittrockiana. RNAcentral's name for it is "tRNA-Thr". It matches the Rfam family "tRNA". Rfam says of the family: Transfer RNA (tRNA) molecules are approximately 80 nucleotides in length. Their secondary structure includes four short double-helical elements and three loops (D, anti-codon, and T loops). Lineage: Eukaryota; Glaucocystophyceae; Gloeochaetales; Gloeochaetaceae. The record is from RNAcentral.
GCCGAUAUAGCUUAGGGGGAGAGCGCAUGAUUCGUAAUCGUGAGGCCAUGGGUUCAAAUCCCAUUAUCGGCUA